This 649-nucleotide ribosomal RNA is filed under the name uncultured bacterium. Its description in RNAcentral is "bacterial SSU rRNA". It matches the Rfam family "Bacterial small subunit ribosomal RNA", at positions 43 to 738 of the family's 1533-position model. The record is from RNAcentral.
CAGGCCUAACACAUGCAAGUCGAGCGAGACCUUCGGGUCUAGCGGCGGACGGGUUAGUAACGCGUGGGAACGUGCCCUUCUCUACGGAACAGUCCCGGGAAACUGGGUUUAAUACCGUAUACGCCCUUCGGGGGAAAGAUUUAUCGGAGAAGGAUCGGCCCGCGUCUGAUUAGAUAGUUGGUGGGGUAACGGCCUACCAAGUCGACGAUCAGUAGCUGGUUUGAGAGGAUGAUCAGCAACACUGGGACUGAGACACGGCCCAGACUCCUACGGGAGGCAGCAGUGGGGAAUCUUAGACAAUGGGCGCAAGCCUGAUCUAGCCAUGCCGCGUGAGUGAUGAAGGCCUUAGGGUCGUAAAGCUCUUUCGCUGGGGGAGAUAAUGACGGUACCCAGUAAAGAAACCCCGGCUAACUCCGUGCCAGCAGCCGCGGUAAUACGGAGGGGGUUAGCGUUGUUCGGAAUUACUGGGCGUAAAGCGCGCGUAGGCGGAUUGGAAAGUUGGGGGUGAAAUCCCGGGGCUCAACCCCGGAACUGCCUCCAAAACUAUCAGUCUAGAGGUCGAGAGAGGUGAGUGGAAUUCCGAGUGUAGAGGUGAAAUUCGUAGAUAUUCGGAGGAACACCAGUGGCGAAGGCGGCUCACUGGCUCGAU